RNAcentral lists this ribosomal RNA (819 nucleotides) under Triticum aestivum (bread wheat). Its description in RNAcentral is "partial small subunit ribosomal RNA". The record is from RNAcentral. Lineage: Eukaryota; Viridiplantae; Streptophyta; Magnoliopsida; Poales; Poaceae.
AUGGCGGACAUGGGGGUGCGUGACAACUUGCCCUGCUCCACUUCCUGGAGAGAGCUCACACACACCAGCUGGAGGGAUGACGAUUACAGGAGGAUGGUGAUGGCGAGCCUGAUCGAGGCGGUGUACCUGCUGGAGCUGGAGAGGCAGGAGCGGCGGGACGCGGCGGAGGUGGCGCAGCAGUGGUGGAAGCCCUUCAGCUACCGCCUCGCGCACGAGCUGGUGGACGAGCGCGACGGCUCCGUCUUCGGCGCCAUCUUCGAGUGGGAGGACCGCCACCUGCUCGACCGCCGCGGGGAGGAGGAGAGGCCCACCGGCGCGCCCAGCGCGGUGAUCGCGUUCCGGGGCACGCUGCUGCGCGCGCCCACCAUCCGGCGGGACGUGGAGGACGAGCUGCGCCUGCUGGCCUGCAACAGCCUCCGCGGCUCCGCCAGGCUCCACGGAGCGCUGCAGGCGCUCAGGGCCACCAUCGACAGGUUCGGCUCCGAGAACGUGUGCCUCUGCGGCCACUCCCUCGGCGCCGGCUUCGCGCGCCAGGUCGGCAGGAUGCUCAUGGCGUCGCGCCAGCAGCAGCCGCCGCAGCCGCAGCAACAGAACCCCGCCGCGGCGCUCGAGUUCCACCUCUUCAACGCGCCCUACCUGUCGCUGCCCACGGGCGUGCGGAGGGUGGUGAGGACGGCCGACUGCCUGCUCAAGACGAUCCGCACCGGCGUCGCCGCCGUCGGCAGGUGGCACGGCAAGGCGCUCAAGAACGUCGCCUACGCCAACUGCGUGCUCGGCUACACGCGCCUCGACAGCGACGGCAGGAGGUUGUUCGAGUGA